UACGAAGGGGGCUAGCGUUGCUCGGAAUCACUGGGCGUAAAGCGCACGUAGGCGGCUUCUUAAGUCAGGGGUGAAAUCCUGGAGCUCAACUCCAGAACUGCCUUUGAUACUGAGGAGCUUGAGUCCGGGAGAGGUGAGUGGAACUGCGAGUGUAGAGGUGAAAUUCGUAGAUAUUCGCAGGAACACCAGUGGCGAAGGCGGCUCACUGGUCCGGUACUGACGCUGAGGAGCGAAAGCGUGGGGAGCGAACAGG
This 253-nucleotide ribosomal RNA is filed under the name uncultured bacterium. RNAcentral describes it as "partial 16S ribosomal RNA". It matches the Rfam family "Bacterial small subunit ribosomal RNA", at positions 524 to 776 of the family's 1533-position model. The record is from RNAcentral.